Molecule: ribosomal RNA, 510 nt
Filed under: uncultured bacterium
Lineage: Bacteria
Description: partial 16S ribosomal RNA
Rfam family: Bacterial small subunit ribosomal RNA
Source: RNAcentral
GACGAACGCUGGCGGCGUGCUUAACACAUGCAAGUCGAACGAAGAGCGAUGGAAGCUUGCUUCUAUCAAUCUUAGUGGCGAACGGGUGAGUAACGCGUAAUCAACCUGCCCUUCAGAGGGGGACAACAGUUGGAAACGACUGCUAAUACCGCAUACGAUCUAAUCUCGGCAUCGAGGAUAGAUGAAAGGUGGCCUCUACAUGUAAGCUAUCACUGAAGGAGGGGAUUGCGUCUGAUUAGCUAGUUGGAGGGGUAACGGCCCACCAAGGCGAUGAUCAGUAGCCGGUCUGAGAGGAUGAACGGCCACAUUGGGGCUGAGACACGGCCCAGACUCCUACGGGAGGCAGCAGUGGGGAAUCUUCCGCAAUGGACGAAAGUCUGACGGAGCAACGCCGCGUGAGUGAUGACGGCCUUCGGGUUGUAAAGCUCUGUUAAUCGGGACGAAAGGCCUUCUUGCGAAUAGUGAGAAGGAUUGACGGUACCGGAAUAGAAAGCCACGGCUAACUACGUG